This 520-nucleotide unclassified non-coding RNA is filed under the name uncultured Glomus. Its description in RNAcentral is "SSU rRNA". It matches the Rfam family "Eukaryotic small subunit ribosomal RNA", at positions 569 to 1094 of the family's 1831-position model. Lineage: Eukaryota; Fungi; Glomeromycota; Glomeromycetes; Glomerales; Glomeraceae. The record is from RNAcentral.
AGCAGCCGCGGUAAUUCCAGCUCCAAUAGCGUAUAUUAAAGUUGUUGCAGUUAAAAGCUCGUAGUUGAAUUUCGGGAUCAAUUAAUCGGUCGUGCCUCUGGUACGCACUGGUUUUAUUGGUUUCUCCCUUCUGACGAACCAGGAUGUCAUUAAUUUGGUGUCUUGGAGAAUCAGGACUGUUACUUUGAAAAAUUAGAGUGUUUAAAGCAGGCUAACGCUUGAAUACAUUAGCAUGGAAUAAUGAAAUAGGACGUUUGAUCCUAUUUUGUUGGUUUCUAGGAUCGACGUAAUGAUUAAUAGGGAUAGUUGGGGGCAUUAGUAUUCAAUUGUCAGAGGUGAAAUUCUUGGAUUUAUUGAAGACUAACUACUGCGAAAGCAUUUGCCAAGGAUGUUUUCAUUAAUCAAGAACGAAAGUUAGGGAUCGAAGACGAUCAGAUACCGUCGUAGUCUUAACCAUAAACUAUGCCGACUAGGGAUCGGAUGAUGUUAAUUUUUAAUGACUCAUUCGGCGCCUUACGGG